UACGUAGGGUGCGAGCGUUGUCCGGAAUUACUGGGCGUAAAGAGCUCGUAGGCGGUUUGUCGCGUCUGCUGUGAAAUUUCGGGGCUCAACCCCGAACUUGCAGUGGGUACGGGCAGACUAGAGUGUGGUAGGGGAGACUGGAAUUCCUGGUGUAGCGGUGAAAUGCGCAGAUAUCAGGAGGAACACCGAUGGCGAAGGCAGGUCUCUGGGCCACUACUGACGCUGAGAAGCGAAAGCAUGGGGAGCGAACAGG
This 253-nucleotide ribosomal RNA is filed under the name uncultured bacterium. Its description in RNAcentral is "partial 16S ribosomal RNA". It matches the Rfam family "Bacterial small subunit ribosomal RNA", at positions 524 to 776 of the family's 1533-position model. The record is from RNAcentral.